This 250-nucleotide ribosomal RNA is filed under the name uncultured prokaryote. RNAcentral's name for it is "partial 16S ribosomal RNA". It matches the Rfam family "Bacterial small subunit ribosomal RNA", at positions 524 to 773 of the family's 1533-position model. The record is from RNAcentral.
UACGAAGGGGGCAAGCGUUGUUCGGAAUUACUGGGCGUAAAGGGAGUGUAGGCGGUUUGGUAAGAUAGCGGUGAAAUCCCAGGGCUUAACCUUGGAAUUGCCAUUAUAACUAUCAGACUUGAAUGAUAGAGAGGAUAUCGGAAUACCCAGUGUAGAGGUGAAAUUCGUAGAUAUUGGGUAGAACACCGGUGGCGAAGGCGGGUAUCUGGCUAUUAAUUGACGCUGAGGCUCGAAAGCAUGGGGAUCAAAC